AUGCUGGAUUGUAUAGUAAACCAAGACAGAGAAGAGGAGCUGCAGUGCACAAGGCAACAGCAUCCUUCAAGGCUGUCUUCUCUUACUGCCUGCCCUAGCUUGAAGGAAGAAGAAGCUCCAAGCAGCUGUGGAGAAGAAACAGAAUUACCAUCCAGUGAGGUUUGGAUAGAUUACUCUAUUGAAAAUCAUGGGCCAGAUACAUUCUCAGCAACAAAGGCAAAUACAUCCACAAAGAUUGUUCAAACUCAGCUGCUCAGUCAGAGUUCUAAUCACAUCCAGCAGGUUCAGCCUUCUUCAUCUAGAACGCAUAAUUUCUGUCAAAUUUUAGAUACGGGAUCAAGCCUUUUUCUACUCAGUCCUCAAAAGAACACCAGCCAGGGUAAGCCUGUUUUGUAA
Molecule: long non-coding RNA, 396 nt
Filed under: Lonchura striata (white-rumped munia)
Lineage: Eukaryota; Metazoa; Chordata; Aves; Passeriformes; Estrildidae
Description: domestica (Bengalese finch) lncRNA (ENSLSDG00000002757.1)
Source: RNAcentral